RNAcentral lists this ribosomal RNA (484 nucleotides) under uncultured bacterium. Its description in RNAcentral is "partial 16S ribosomal RNA". It matches the Rfam family "Bacterial small subunit ribosomal RNA", at positions 29 to 507 of the family's 1533-position model. The record is from RNAcentral.
AUUGAACGCUGGCGGCAGGCCUAACACAUGCAAGUCGAGCGGAAGAAGGGAGCUUGCUCCUGGAUUCAGAGGGGGGCGGGUGAGUGAUGCCUAGGAAUCAGCCUGGUUGUGGGGGGUGACGUCUGGAGAAGGGCGCGGCUACCGCCUGAGAGCAGCGGGUGCAGGAGGGGGGGGUUCGGAACUCACGGUAUGAGGGGAGUCUAGGUCGGAUUAGCUAGUCGGUGGGGUAAGGGGCUGCCAAGCAGGCCAUCCGUAACUGGUCUGAGAGGAUGAUCGGUCACACUGGAACUGGGACACGGUCCAGACGCCUACGAGAGGCAGCAGUGGGGAAUAGGGGACAGUGGGCGAAAGCCUGAUCCAGCCAUGCCGCGUGUGUGAAGAAGGUCUUCGGAUUGUAAUGCACUUUUAGGUGUUAGGAAGCGCAGUAAGUUAAGACCAUGCGGUUUUGACGGUACCAACAAAAGAAGCACCGGCUAACUACGUG